GAUGAACGCUGACAGAAUGCUUAACACAUGCAAGUCUACUUGAACUUCGGUUUGGGUGGCGGACGGGUGAGUAACGCGUAAAGAACUUGCCUCACAGUUAGGGACAACAUUUGGAAACGAAUGCUAAUACCUGAUAUUAUGAUUUUAAGGCAUCCUAGGAUUAUGAAAGCUAUAUGUGCUGUGAGAGAGCUUUGCGUCCCAUUAGCUAGUUGGAGAGGUAACGGCUCACCAAGGCGAUGAUGGGUAGCCGGCCUGAGAGGGUGAACGGCCACAAGGGGACUGAGACACGGCCCUUACUCCUACGGGAGGCAGCAGUGGGGAAUAUUGGACAAUGGACCAAAAGUCUGAUCCAGCAAUUCUGUGUGCACGAUGACGUUUUUCGGAAUGUAAAGUGCUUUCAGUUGGGAAGAAAAAAAUGACGGUACCAACAGAAGAAGUGACGGCUAAAUACGUG
RNAcentral lists this ribosomal RNA (454 nucleotides) under uncultured bacterium. RNAcentral describes it as "partial 16S ribosomal RNA". It matches the Rfam family "Bacterial small subunit ribosomal RNA", at positions 28 to 507 of the family's 1533-position model. The record is from RNAcentral.